Paragonimus heterotremus is the source of this 81-nucleotide non-coding RNA. The record is from the annotation of a GenBank genome assembly. Lineage: Eukaryota; Metazoa; Platyhelminthes; Trematoda; Plagiorchiida; Troglotrematidae.
GGCUUCGUAGCUCAGGUGGUAGAGUGUUUGCGGUUUUUGGGCAUGUUGUUUAUGUCGAUGGUUCGCAUCCAGCCGAAGUCC